GGCCCUAUCUUCUAACGGUUAGGAAAUCAGAUUCUCAAUCUGGGAAUUGGAGUUCGAUUCUCCAUGGGGCUA
RNAcentral lists this transfer RNA (72 nucleotides) under Bacteroidales bacterium. RNAcentral's name for it is "tRNA-Glu". It matches the Rfam family "tRNA". From Rfam's summary of the family: Transfer RNA (tRNA) molecules are approximately 80 nucleotides in length. Their secondary structure includes four short double-helical elements and three loops (D, anti-codon, and T loops). The record is from RNAcentral. Lineage: Bacteria; Pseudomonadati; Bacteroidota; Bacteroidia; Bacteroidales. RNAcentral also lists the same sequence under 1 other name.